GCUGACGUGUCCGAGUGGUCCAAGGAGCCAGACUUAAGAUCUGGUAUGCGAAAGCAUGCGUGGGUUCAAACCCCACCGUCAGCA
Rhizophagus irregularis is the source of this 84-nucleotide non-coding RNA. The record is from Rfam. NCBI's taxonomy places the organism in Eukaryota, Fungi, Glomeromycota, Glomeromycetes, Glomerales, Glomeraceae.